This 253-nucleotide ribosomal RNA is filed under the name uncultured bacterium. RNAcentral describes it as "partial 16S ribosomal RNA". It matches the Rfam family "Bacterial small subunit ribosomal RNA", at positions 524 to 776 of the family's 1533-position model. The record is from RNAcentral.
UACGGAGGGGGCUAGCGUUAUUCGGAAUUAUUGGGCGUAAAGGGCGCGUAGGCGGCCCGGUAAGUCAAAGGUGAAAUCCCUCGGCUCAACUGAGGAACUGCCUUUGAAACUGUCGGGCUUGAGGCCGGGAGGGGGUAGCGGAAUUCCCAGUGUAGCGGUGAAAUGCGUAGAUAUUGGGAGGAACACCAGUGGCGAAGGCGGCUACCUGGACCGGUUCUGACGCUGAUGCGCGAAAGCGUGGGUAGCAAACAGG